Peromyscus eremicus (cactus mouse) is the source of this 557-nucleotide long non-coding RNA. RefSeq lists it as uncharacterized. Lineage: Eukaryota; Metazoa; Chordata; Mammalia; Rodentia; Cricetidae. The record is from RefSeq and is a predicted model, not a curated record. The transcript has 3 exons.
UAAACACAAUAAGAUAUGUGACAAGAUGAGAGAGCUUCUGAUGUUUCUCUUUAGGUAUCUCAGUUUAAGGGGUUGACUUUCCUUCUCUGAGCAGGGAAUGCCUGAGAUAUAAAUGUCUAAUUACUCAACAUUUGGAAGCCUGUGUCAACAACUGAUCACCAAGGAUACCACACAGAAAGACAUGAAAACAAACCUCAAAGAGUCACCAUGGGAUGUAACAUCUGUUUGAGAAUUCUCCCUGGAAAAUGUCUUCCAACAUGCAAGAAGAGGGCUGGCAGCUGACACGAAACUACUACUACAAUCUACAAGCCAAGAAAAGCAUUCUCAGAAGAAAUCAAUCUUGCUUGAACUUGGACUCCAUUCUUCAGAUCUAUGUGAAAAUACAGUUCUGCUGUGUAAACCACGUGGUCUGUAGUAUUCUGUUAAGGAGCUGGAGUAAGCCAACCCAAUGGGCUUUUCUAUGGCAGUCACAUAACCAAAGAAUUCCAAUGCAUAUAAAUACAAACACUAGGUGUAAAAAGACAGUAGCAAUCUAAUAAAAUGUGAAUCUCACACUG